RNAcentral lists this ribosomal RNA (460 nucleotides) under uncultured bacterium. RNAcentral describes it as "partial 16S ribosomal RNA". It matches the Rfam family "Bacterial small subunit ribosomal RNA", at positions 28 to 507 of the family's 1533-position model. The record is from RNAcentral.
GACGAACGCUGGCGGCGUGCUUAACACAUGCAAGUCGAGCGGUAAGGCCUCUUCGGGGGUACACGAGCGGCGAACGGGUGAGUAACACGUGGGUGACCUGCCCUCAGCUCUGGGAUAAGCCUGGGAAACUGGGUCUAAUACCGGAUAUGACCUUUCCUCGCAUGGGGUUUGGUGGAAAGUUUUUUCGGCUGGGGAUGGGCCCGCGGCCUAUCAGCUUGUUGGUGGGGUGAUGGCCUACCAAGGCGACGACGGGUAGCCGGCCUGAGAGGGCGACCGGCCACACUGGGACUGAGACACGGCCCAGACUCCUACGGGAGGCAGCAGUGGGGAAUAUUGCGCAAUGGGCGGAAGCCUGACGCAGCGACGCCGCGUGGGGGAUGACGGCCUUCGGGUUGUAAACCUCUUUCGACCCCGACGAAAUUGGACGGUAGGGGUAGAAGAAGCACCGGCCAACUACGUG